This 74-nucleotide transfer RNA is filed under the name Sulfolobus acidocaldarius DSM 639. Its description in RNAcentral is "tRNA-Thr". It matches the Rfam family "tRNA". Rfam says of the family: Transfer RNA (tRNA) molecules are approximately 80 nucleotides in length. Their secondary structure includes four short double-helical elements and three loops (D, anti-codon, and T loops). Further hydrogen bonds mediate the characteristic L-shaped molecular structure. tRNAs have two regions of fundamental functional importance: the anti-codon, which is responsible for specific mRNA codon recognition, and the 3' end, to which the tRNAs corresponding amino acid is attached (by aminoacyl-tRNA synthetases). tRNAs cope with the degeneracy of the genetic code in two manners: having more than one tRNA (with a specific anti-codon) for a particular amino acid; and 'wobble' base-pairing, i.e. permitting non-standard base-pairing at the 3rd anti-codon position. Lineage: Archaea; Thermoproteati; Thermoproteota; Thermoprotei; Sulfolobales; Sulfolobaceae. The record is from RNAcentral.
GCCGCCGUAGCUCAGCACGGCCAGAGCGCUGGCCUUGUAACAGCCAGUGGUCCCGGGUUCAAAUCCCGGCGGCG